UCCUAUGUGCUGGUUCUCUUGAUGCUUAC
This 29-nucleotide non-coding RNA is filed under the name Rattus norvegicus (Norway rat). The record is from RNAcentral. Lineage: Eukaryota; Metazoa; Chordata; Mammalia; Rodentia; Muridae.